CAGCAGCCGCGGUAAUACGAAGGGUGCAAGCGUUACUCGGAAUUACUGGGCGUAAAGCGUGUGUAGGUGGUUGUUUAAGUCUGUCGUGAAAGCCCUGGGCUCAACCUGGGAAUUGCGAUGGAUACUGGGCGACUAGAGUGCGGUAGAGGAUAGUGGAAUUUCCGGUGUAGCAGUGAAAUGCGUAGAGAUCGGAAGGAACAUCUGUGGCGAAGGCGACUAUCUGGGCCAACACUGACACUGAGACACGAAAGCGUGGGGAGCAAACAGGAUUAGAUACCCGCGUAGUCCCUGUCUCUUAUAC
Molecule: ribosomal RNA, 301 nt
Filed under: uncultured bacterium
Lineage: Bacteria
Description: partial 16S ribosomal RNA
Rfam family: Bacterial small subunit ribosomal RNA
Source: RNAcentral